This is a long non-coding RNA of Bombus terrestris (buff-tailed bumblebee), 4555 nucleotides long. RefSeq lists it as uncharacterized. NCBI's taxonomy places the organism in Eukaryota, Metazoa, Arthropoda, Insecta, Hymenoptera, Apidae. The record is from RefSeq and is a predicted model, not a curated record. The transcript is spliced from 2 exons.
CGUUUCAGUAAAUCGUGUUACGUUUCUUCGUGCACGCCAUACGGAGGAUAAAGUUCUCUGUAAUAUUUCCUUUUCCUUCGCCUGUCUGUCAUCGUUUUCUCUUUCUUUUCGAGACAAUACGAAGAAAACGGGACGAAGGAAGCUGAAAUACUAGAAUUUAGUCGGCAAAUACAUUUUUUUAGAUACCGCACGACCCUACCACGUAUUCGAUAACGAGUCAGGAUAGGGAUCUCGCAUAUUACGUUCUCAGGCAUACGGCGUACGGAUAUUUUGCUCUUUUACCGCUCGCAAUUUCGUGUAUGUCGCAAAAGUAUUACGAUAUCCGGUGAUCUCAUACGAAACACGGUAAUUGAUGGAGACUGUUGGAGGGACGAUCGAUGUAUCGGAAUUUCGCGUAUUCGUACGAGAUCGCGAUUUCGAAUCGCGCAGGAAAUAUUCUGUUAUUUGCCACAGCUAGAGGCAAAUAACGAACGAAUAACUUCUGAGAUGUAUUCAAUUUUAUUACGUUGUUUUUGGUUAGAUCGGUUUAUUACACCGGUUAUACGUAUGCGGUGUCGUAUAAAAAUUCUAACCACUGUUAAAUAAAACGAUAAAAAAGCAAGCAAUGGAUGCUAUAAACGAGAUGUUAUGAAAGCAUUUUUACAUUUCAUGCUCGAACAAUACGAAACCGUUAUCAAUGUACGUAGACAGAGUAAUGUUUGCUCGGAAAGUUCGUUCCGAUUUCCAAGGAAUUUAAUAAAAUAAUUAUUUUUGCUUAGUGCCUCUCCACCGGGGAAAUUGUUUUCAAGUGUAUCACGCCGGAAAACGUAAUUGGAAGUAUCUUAAAAUAUCAUCGUUGAUUUUUAAUCAAAUAUUACGCUUGUUAAAUGCUGCUCGGAAGGUUCGUUCCGAUUUUUAAAGAAUUUAGUAAAGUAAUCAAUUUUGCUUGGUACCUCUCCAUCGAGGAAAUUGUUUUCAAGCGCAUCACGCUAAAAAACGUUACUAGAAGUAUCUUCAAAUAUCAUCGUUGAUUUCUAAUCAAAUAUUACGCUUGUUAAGUGCUGCUCCGAUAGUUCGUUCCGAUUUUUAACUGUUCGGUCGACAUAGAAAAUUAUAUCGGAAAGUUUUUCGCCAAAAAAUAUCCUAUCUGUAUAAUUCGAUAAACAUAUAUCGGAACGAACUUUCGGAGCGACCGUUUUUCAAUCGCUGGAAAAACAGGCGGAAAUUCGGGCUAUAUGCUUGUCAGAGCACACGGUCCCCAGAGUGUUAAAUUACGCGAUCUUUUAACCGAAACCUCGUUUGAACCUCGAUUAAAAUUCCGAGGAGCUACAUUGGUAGUAAACUUUACUACAAACUCUCUUAGUCUGUUAUCGUCUGAAUAGAGCGAGAUCAUUAAGAGCGUUAAUUUAAGAGGACGAAGAGCAACAAGAAUCGACGAUUUCUCGAGCUAAUCCGGUAGUAGCUGGAUUGAUUAAUGGAACGACUGACGAUCCUUUUCAUCGAAACGGAUCCAUGGCAAUAGGAUUUUACAGGGGAAUACCGCUAUUGUUAGAGUGGCACGUGUAUGUACAUAGGGUAUUCCAAUCAUCCGCCGCAGUGAUCGGAAGAGAGCAGUAGACGUAAAUAAUGGUGUGCGAAAUUUUACGUUCGCACCAGAAAUAGAACGUUUCUUGCCAACACCGGACGGAUCCGGCGAACAGGAACGUGUCUCGAUACGCCGAGAAAAGAAUAUUCCUCGAUGAGGAAAAGAUCGAGUCAUUGGGAAUAUCAUUUUAUUCGUCAUAUUCCAAAUAUAAUUGAUCUUACUUCGAAAAAUCUGUUUCUUUCCUCGACCGUUCGAAGAACCUUUGCUGUACCGUCGCGCGUGUUCGUAAUUUUAAAACACGUUUACUCGUAACGUGGAUUCACGUUCUCACGUAUAUCGCGUGGUCCGAUAAAUAUUGCAUUAAAAAAAAAAAAAAAAAAUGAAAAUUAGCAAGUGAAUAUCUCCGUUGUUCUUGGAGAUACGAGAAAGCUUUAUCAACGAAAGUUAUUUGGCACAGUGAAGACUGUAACAGUAGGCAGUGAUAAUAUUUUUGCAGCUGGAGGAAUUUUCGACGUUCCAAGGUUGUUUCCACUUUUUUUUAAAACAGCAUUGUAUAUAUUUCUCGUGCAUUAUUUGACGCACGUUGGACGUUCUCUCUGUAAAAAAAUAUUAACCCGCGUAUGUGGAAAUAUUAUUAGUUUAGGUGAUAUCUUAACUUUAGUUUGUCUAAUUUAACGUAUGAAAGACGAAGACAACAUAAGCAGAAGAAUUCCGUUUUGUGUUUUUCCUUGUCCUUUGUACGUUAAACUCGACGAAUUAAAGUUAAAGUAUCUCCUAAAUUAAUGAUUUGUCGAGAUACAUAGAUUGAUACUUGAUAUUUCAUAGAGAAUGUCAAGCAUCGACUAACAUAUAAAAUAUAUACAAAUAUAAUGCAAAUAUACGAUGCAAAAUUAUUAGAAAAAAUUAUUUCUCCCAUAUUGUAGCCUCCUCUGUAUUAAACAACUUUCCUUAACAAAUCUUUUUCGUAUCUCCAAAAACAAUGGCGAUAUUCAAACGUUUGGUUUUAUUGGCUCAUUCUGUAUUACAACAAAUAUAAAAAUGGGAUGAGUACGUAACGCAUGAUCCAAGGUAUUUCGAGUCUUUUUGAUAAAUUAACAAAAAAGUCAGUUUACGAGAAGUAACGUCCGAUUAAAAAUUUCAUGGGGAAAUUUCAAGGCUGUGUACCACGUCGGAGAGAAAAAUGUUAAAUAUCUGUGACACAGAUAAAAUGUUCUCGACUACUUACGAGCGUUGAAAUACUUUCGCCAGCCCGCGUAUAUACGUGCAUAUUCUUAGAUUUUUGUAGAUCAUAAAACGUAAAUCAAGAUUCCCUUCCCAUCGAGAUUAAAACCGGAAAAAACUUCAAGGUUCCAUGGAAACUGAGCUGAAGCGAGACGAAGAUUGCCAAGAGCGAGGGGUAUUCGGUACGGGCAAACAGAAACUUCGCGCAAAGGCUAAUAAAGCUCGGGCUAGUUUGUUGGACGAGCGGAAACUUGCAUCGCUUCUGUGGGAUUCUUGAUCGUUGCGUCCGAGAAUGUGGAUAACGCGUAUCGCUAUCGAUCGUACGUGCGUUUAUGUAACGAGAUUAAGAAAAUAAUAAAUAGCGGAGUUGAUUAGUUUAGCCCGAGAUAGGCCCACUUGCUCGCAACCAGAUAUCUUGCAACUUUUAUGUACGUUCGAAGCUUCAACAACGUGACCCCGUUAAACUGCAGAUUUUUACGCGUCUGUUUAAAAAACUGUAAGAUACAACGAUAAACGCGCGUAACACGCAAAAAGUAUAUAAGAUAUUCAAAGCAGAGUACUCUUUUAUAAUACGCGAUAUGAGGAUGAAACAGAUGUCUGCUUCAGUUUCCUUGGUUGUUUGUAAAAAUAUAAAUUUGUAAAUUCGUAUCAUGUACUUUCGUGUCAUAUAUUCAGGAGCAUUCAGGUACGCGCCAGUGAACCUAUCGUAUCUGCUCGUAAUAUUAAAACGUCUCGUAUAAAAAUAGCGACACGUUUACUCCAUUCUAUAAGUCGAUCGUAAACGUAGCUCUCGUUACAAAAGCCAUUUGUACUCGGAUGUAAAUGUUACGUAUUUCCUUAUGCAUUUAUUCGUAGGGAUCGCUUAACGCGCUAUAAAACGGAAGAGGUUGAAAGACGUUGCGCGACUCUCUUUACCGGAGUCGGAAUGCAGACAAUAGGGAUGGCCUUUGAGUUCCUACAGUCAAAGAAAGGCUAUUCCUUGGUCGCGAUUAUUGAUUCGAAAGUAUGCCGGCGACGAAGAAAAAGGGGGAAAAAAUAAGGGAGGGGAAAGCGAGAAGCAUCGUCAUAUAGUUUUUCCGAGACGUCGUUCUAACGAAGAUGGGCGCGGUUCGAGCCGCGUUUCUACGCAGCUUUCGCAGAUUGAAUCCCAGCACUUAGGCUCUGACUCAUUCUACGGCCUGCUUGGAUAGGGUUUCUUGCGGAAUUCCGGAACACCACCCUGCUGUCGCGACGAAAUUACACGUGCCGCUCUUCACUCUGCAUUUUCGUUUCUCCUACGGUAUAUCUUUUUGUUAUUGUGAUCCGAGAUGUUCCAUGGAUUAUUUGAAUAAUAAAAAUAAAAAAAGAAAAAGAGAGAAAAAAAAAUCACAAUUUAAGUGUUAGUAAUUCAACACCAUUUAAGUAUGCGAGUCAAUGCCAUCGUGGUAAACGCUGUGGGAGUAUUUCGCAUUCAGGCCAACUUAAACUGUCGUAAUUAAUGCUCAUUAUCAUCGAUUAGUAGAUUGCGCAUAAGCAGAUAUCAAAGAAAGAAGAAAGAUGUGGUAACUUCUUUCGCAUAAAAUCUAUCUAUGAUGGAAAAGUAACUUAUUUAUCCCAUUUAUCAUACCACGGACAAAGAUUAAGGGAACGAUCUAAUCAAAUAAUUUAAGUUGAUUAAAUAGUUGAAAUAACUUAAACGACGCUUUGGGUCAAAUUGUACGACCGUACCUAUCGACAAUAAAACGUUUUCGAUUUUGCGGUAUUGUAUUAGAGACGAAGGUCCAAACAGUG